CUACGUAGGGGGCGAGCGUUGUCCGGAAUGAUUGGGCGUAAAGGGCGCGUAGGCGGCCUGUUAAGUCUGGAGUGAAAGUCCUGUUUUCAAGAUGGGAAUUGCUUUGGAUACUGAUGGGCUUGAGUGCAGGAGAGGUUAUCGGAAUUCCCGGUGUAGCGGUGAAAUGCGUAGAGAUCGGGAGGAACACCAGUGGCGAAGGCGGGUAACUGGACUGCAACUGACGCUGAGGCGCGAAAGUGUGGGGAGCAAACAGGAUUAGAUACCCUGGUAGUCCACACUGUAAACGAUGAAUGCUAGGUGUAAGAGGUAUCGACCCCUUUUGUGCCGGAGUUAACACAAUAAGCAUUCCGCCUGGGGAGUACGGCCGCAAGGUUGAAACUCAAAGGAAUUGACGGGG
This 397-nucleotide ribosomal RNA is filed under the name uncultured bacterium. RNAcentral describes it as "partial 16S ribosomal RNA". It matches the Rfam family "Bacterial small subunit ribosomal RNA", at positions 523 to 918 of the family's 1533-position model. The record is from RNAcentral.